GACGAACGCUGGCGGCGUGCUUAACACAUGCAAGUCGAGCGGAAAGGCCCUUGCGGGGGUACUCGAGCGGCGAACGGGUGAGUAACACGUGAGUAAUCUGCCCUUGGCUUUGGGAUAACCACCGGAAACGGUGGCUAAUACCGGAUAUGACGCGCCCCGGCAUCGGGGUGUGUGGAAAGUUUUUUCGGCCAGGGAUGUGCUCGCGGCCUAUCAGCUUGUUGGUGGGGUAAUGGUCUACCAAGGCUUCGACGGGUAGCCGGCCGGAGAGGGUGGCCGGCCACACGGGGACUGAGACACGGGCCAGAGUCCUAGGGGAGGCAGCGGUGGGGAAUAUGGGACAAUGGGCGGAAGCGUGAGCCAGCAACGCCGCGUGAGGGAUGACGGGCUUCGGGUUGUAAACCUCUUUCAGUACCGACGAAGCGCCGAUGAUGGUGGUGACGGUAGGUACAGAAGAAGCACCGGCCAACUACGUGCCAGCCGCCGCGGUAA
This 489-nucleotide ribosomal RNA is filed under the name uncultured bacterium. RNAcentral's name for it is "partial 16S ribosomal RNA". It matches the Rfam family "Bacterial small subunit ribosomal RNA", at positions 28 to 523 of the family's 1533-position model. The record is from RNAcentral.